This 63-nucleotide transfer RNA is filed under the name Aethus nigritus. RNAcentral describes it as "tRNA-Arg". Lineage: Eukaryota; Metazoa; Arthropoda; Insecta; Hemiptera; Cydnidae. The record is from RNAcentral.
GGAUAAUGAAGUAAAAAUUACAUUUAGUUUCGACCUAAAAUUAAGAUAUAUGUCUCUUAUCUA